UACGUGGGGUGCAAGCGUUGUUCGGAAUUACUGGGCGUAAAGCGUGUGUAGGCGGCUCGUUAAGUCUGACGUGAAAUCCCUGGGCUUAACCCAGGAACUGCAUCGGAAACUAGCGAGCUUGAGUCCGGGAGAGGGUAGUGGAAUUCCUGGUGUAGAGGUGAAAUUCGUAGAUAUUCGCAAGAACACCAGUGGCGAAGGCGGCUCACUGGCCCGAUACUGACGCUGAGGCACGAAAGCGUGGGGAGCAAACAGG
This 253-nucleotide ribosomal RNA is filed under the name uncultured bacterium. RNAcentral describes it as "partial 16S ribosomal RNA". It matches the Rfam family "Bacterial small subunit ribosomal RNA", at positions 524 to 776 of the family's 1533-position model. The record is from RNAcentral.